This 253-nucleotide ribosomal RNA is filed under the name uncultured bacterium. RNAcentral describes it as "partial 16S ribosomal RNA". It matches the Rfam family "Bacterial small subunit ribosomal RNA", at positions 524 to 776 of the family's 1533-position model. The record is from RNAcentral.
UACGGAGGGUGCAAGCGUUACCCGGAAUCACUGGGCGUAAAGGGCGUGUAGGCGGUACAUCAAGUCCGGCUUUAAAGACCGAGGCUCAACUUCGGCAGUGGGCUGGAUACUGAUGAACUAGGUGUCUGGAGGGGUAAGCGGAAUUUCUGGUGUAGCGGUGGAAUGCGUAGAUACCAGAAGGAACACCGAUAGCGAAGGCAGCUUACUGGACAGGACAUGACGCUGAGGCGCGAAAGUGUGGGGAGCAAACCGG